GUAAAUGUGGAGCCGUAGCGAAAGCGAGUCUGAAUAGGGCGUUUAGUAUUUGGUCGUAGACCCGAAACCAGGUGAUCUACCCUUGGUCAGGUUGAAGUUCAGGUAACACUGAAUGGAGGACCGAACCGACUUACGUUGAAAAGUGAGCGGAUGAACUGAGGGUAGCGGAGAAAUUCCAAUCGAACCUGGAGAUAGCUGGUUCUCUCCGAAAUAGCUUUAGGGCUAGCCUCAAGUGAUGAUUAUUGGAGGUAGAGCACUGUUUGGACGAGGGGCCCCUCUCGGGUUACCGAAUUCAGACAAACUCCGAAUGCCAAUUAAUUUAACUUGGGAGUCAGAACAUGGGUGAUAAGGUCCGUGUUCGAAAGGGAAACAGCCCAGACCACCAGCUAAGGUCCCAAAAUAUAUGUUAAGUGGAAAAGGAUGUGGCGUUGCCCAGACAACUAGGAUGUUGGCUUAGAAGCAGCCAUCAUUUAAAGAGUGCGUAAUAGCUCACUAGUCGAGUGACACUGCGCCGAAAAUGUACCGGGGCUAAACAUAUUACCGAAGCUGUGGAUUGUCCUUUGGACAAUGGUAGGAGAGCGUUCUAAGG
This 589-nucleotide ribosomal RNA is filed under the name Staphylococcus aureus. Its description in RNAcentral is "partial 23S ribosomal RNA". It matches the Rfam family "Bacterial large subunit ribosomal RNA", at positions 654 to 1246 of the family's 2925-position model. The record is from RNAcentral. Lineage: Bacteria; Bacillati; Bacillota; Bacilli; Caryophanales; Staphylococcaceae.